RNAcentral lists this ribosomal RNA (208 nucleotides) under uncultured Pseudomonas sp. Its description in RNAcentral is "partial 16S ribosomal RNA". It matches the Rfam family "Bacterial small subunit ribosomal RNA", at positions 1178 to 1382 of the family's 1533-position model. Lineage: Bacteria; Pseudomonadati; Pseudomonadota; Gammaproteobacteria; Pseudomonadales; Pseudomonadaceae. The record is from RNAcentral.
AGUGACGUCAAGUCAUCAUGGCCCUUACCGGCCGUGGGCGUACACACGUGCUACAAUGGUCAGUACAAAGGGUUGCCAAGCCGCGAGGUGGAGCUAAUCCCAUAAAACCGAUCGUAGUCCGGAUCGCAGUCUGCAACUCGACUGCGUGAAGUCGGAAUCGCUAGUAAUCGUGGAUCAGAAUGUCACGGUGAAUACGUUCCCGGGCCUU